RNAcentral lists this ribosomal RNA (169 nucleotides) under uncultured bacterium. RNAcentral's name for it is "partial 16S ribosomal RNA". It matches the Rfam family "Bacterial small subunit ribosomal RNA", at positions 350 to 511 of the family's 1533-position model. The record is from RNAcentral.
AGCAGUAGGGAAUCUUCCACAAUGGGCGCAAGCCUGAUGGAGCAACACCGCGUGAGUGAAGAAGGGUUUCGGCUCGUAAAGCUCUGUUGUUAAAGAAGAACACGUAUGAGAGUAACUGUUCAUACGUUGACGGUAUUUAACCAGAAAGUCACGGCUAACUACGUGCCAG